This 555-nucleotide small RNA is filed under the name Pan troglodytes (chimpanzee). Its description in RNAcentral is "processed transcript". The record is from RNAcentral. Lineage: Eukaryota; Metazoa; Chordata; Mammalia; Primates; Hominidae.
AAAAGGAAAAAAUGACAGUCACCUGACAGUGUGGUGCCCAGCCAACCAGCUAUACCUCUUUUGAAGAUUUUAAGAACUUAGCCUCCUGAACAGUCUUCUUCGAAAGUGAAAAGUGGUAACAGCUGAUGAGUAUCAAGAAAUUAUUUUCUGCAAAGGGGCAGAGUUAAUUGUAUUUGGAACCCAUGACAGCACCUACUGGGGAAAGACUUUAAGUGAGGAGAAACGGCUCUACAGAUUCAGGAUGACUUCAGAGGUGGAAAAAUUAACCUAGAAAAAACUCAGAGGUUACUUGAAAAAUUAGAUAUUCGGUGCAGUUAUAUUCAUGUGAAACAGAUUUUUAAGCCCUCAAGUUUACAAACCACAAAGAGGAGGUUAAAAAAGAAAAGUUGUGCUUCUCAGGAGACCCCGGUGAAAACCAAAGUUGCAGAACUGUGUCUCUGAAUCCAAGCAGUGCAUGUGGCCAUAAGUAGGACAAUGACAGGCUGAAACAAGGAAGAAUCACCAUAGAAGAAUUUAGAGCAAUUUAUCGAAUUAUCACGCACAGAGAAGAAAUUA